This 3027-nucleotide long non-coding RNA is filed under the name Aquila chrysaetos chrysaetos. RNAcentral describes it as "lncRNA (ENSACCG00020011776.1)". The record is from RNAcentral. Lineage: Eukaryota; Metazoa; Chordata; Aves; Accipitriformes; Accipitridae.
GAGGCAUUCUGGGUUGGGAGGGAGUGGUGUUUGAUGGGGUUUUUGGUUUGUUUUCUUUUUCCUGUGCUUAAGCACUAAAACUGAGUAAAGCCCUUUAAAAUUUCUUCUGUACUACAAAAGUAGAAAUGACCUUCAUCAGGAACUUGUGCGUGUCAAGUGGAACCCAGGUGAAGUUUUAAAGGACCGUGGUCAUGAGAGAAACUUUCACCGUGCCCUGAAAAUGGACAGCCACCUGCAUACCUCACAGGUUUUCAGUAGCCUUUGACAUACCCUGUACAAACAGCAACAUAAAGGCAGAAGACUACAUCGUGCCACAAUCCGGAUGCCAGAUACUGUCUGUAUUGGAAGGGUUUAGAGCCCUUGUUCCUUUAACAAAAUACGUGUAUGAUAGUGGUCUAAAGACAAACACUGCAUUGACUCAUUUUGUACACCUUGUGCAUGAAAAAUAUUCCAGUUAAGUGUAUUGUCAAAACAUAGAUGUAGGAAAUAAUUCAUGUGUAAAGACAUGCAUUAGUAACUUCAACUUAGGGUUGCAAGGAGCUGUUUUACCAUGGACGCUAUCCAAAGAAGGGGUGCCUAUUUCCGUAGAAAUGGGUGUACUGGAGCAUCAGCAAAGGAAUGUGAAGGUGUUCUUUAGUCCAAGACUUCAUUUCAGUGAAGUGACUCUGAAUCUGGCCCUGGAUCCAAACACUGAGUGGAAAAGCGGGAAGCAGUAUGAUCUACAGGAUGUAAAGCACGACUGGGAAAAUCCUGUGCUACCACUCUCAUGCUCUGAAAAUGGCUUAUUUCCAUGUGGAUGUUACCUGUUUCCUAUAGAUGUUAGGUAGGUUUCUGAUUCUGUAAGCUGCUGAGGGUAAACUAAGUUGGGAUGCCUGUUUAUCUACCUUUCCCGUGGCCCCUUCAUCUUCCUUUUUGCUACUGAACCUUGUUUCUCCAUUGUGUGCCUGGAAAUGAAGAGAGGCAAGAAGUUUGGCUGGUUCUGCUUCCUCGAGGAGCAGUGGAAGGAGUGGUGGCAGCGGGAGAGGGACUUUGCUGUAGCGAGGGGAGGUACAGGUACCGCAGGCUGAAAGCACGAGGGCCAAGUCAGCCCUUCGCAGCGGUGUAGUAUCGCGGGUCCAGCGGCUUCCCUCCCCCUGUGUUCACCAAAGGACGCGGGCUCAGCGUGAGAGCAGCUGCAGCACCGCUGGGCGCAGUCAUUCAUACGCUGCACGAUGUAAGAGCUCUGAAACAGGCUAUGAAGGGUUUGAAUUUGCAUGUCUGCUCCUGUUACUGAGCCUAUCUUCUGGGUGACGAGAACCUUGACAUAGGAAUAGCAUAAAACAGCCUUUCACAGCAGCAAAGACAUCACUGUUUGUCUGUCCCAAAGUUAAACCCAUCACAGGAAAAUGUCCAAAUUGUCUGCAUCUGGCUUCUUUUAGUAACAAGCUUCAUUAUAGGAGUGUCUGUCUCAUGUACAGCAGUUUAUGCAACAUUGUUUAUAAAGGAAGGGCCUGUGCACUUCAGGGAUACUAUAAAGAAAAAUACUAAUAUAUGGUCAUUGAGUAUUUUGUAUUGACUAGUGUAUUUGUAUUGUAAACAAGUGUAGUGAACCACAAGGCAUGAAGACAAAUAAAAUGACUGUAGCUGGCUUUCUCUGUCUUGGGCUGUGUAAUGAUUGGAUCAAUGUCAGAGGGAGGUCUCUGGACAUCAAUUUUUACUUGGUAAAGUUACAGAAGUAUUAAGGUACACCAACACACAAAGGAGCAGGUGUGAUGUUAAACCGAGACAGCCACCUUUCUGGCUAGCAGCAGUGUGUUUAAGACUUGUUUGCAUUGCAAAUGUCGUACCUCCAAGCUUCUUACAGAGAAAGGUGGUGUUCCUCCUACUACAAAACACCAAGGGUGGCUUUUACCUACAGGAAACUGGCCAGUAUAAAAAGAGAACAAAGUAUAUGGUGGAAGAGAGCAUUUGGGUAUUUUCAUUCCUAAAUGUUUAUAUCCUAACACAGCAUUUUUCUUUGGGUCUGGACAUGGACUUUGAGUAGGUCUAAUUAUGAGCUGUGUUUUUGUACAGUGGAGUGCCAGUACUGAGUCCUGUGACAAAGAUAGGAAGAGGUAGCUCCUGCCCCGAAAUGCUCACUUUUCUCCCUUCCCUGUACCACUCCUAUGCCAGAGGUAGCUGCUUUCUCAAGAAAUGGUCCUUGAAAUUAGGACUGACUUACCUAUAAACCUUAUUCUCCUUCACUUGUUUAUCCACAUGCUUAUUCUCCUGCAGGACAGUGCUGUGGUUUAGUUAACAAGACUUUUCCUGAGCAGGUAUCUGGCAGGCACCUCUUCUCUCCCUCCAUUUCCCCCACGCUUUGGUUCUUGCCUGUCUUAACUGAAAAGGGAGCUCUCUCCUGUGCUCUUCUAGGAGUAGAGCUAGUCACCAGACAGCCAUCACAUAACGGUUUUGAUCUGGCACUGGCUGGCAAUCUUUGCUAUAAUUUCCAUUUUUUCCAGAAUUGUCUGUCUGCAGCGAGGCAGGAAAAAGGAUGCAGGUGGGUACUCUGCUAUGUGGCUUUCAUGGACACAGUUUCAGUUUCUACCUGGUGUUUGACAAGUCUUUGCAAAAUUUGAACUCUGUAAAAGCCAUGACGUAAGUGCUGGACUAGCCCCCUAUGCAACGUUCUCACAGGUAACAGAGCUAACUUGUCAGAGAAACUAGGUUAUGUUUUGCAAAUCUGCAGUGCCAAUUUUGGAUUGUUGUGCCUCAGAUCUUGCCGGAUAGCAACACUUAAAAAGCACAGGCACCCUGCCCAGAAAACCAUUACUGUCAACAUCUGCAAAAUAAUCACUGAAUCCAACUGGACUGAACUCCCUAGAAAUGAAUUCUCCAUCCUGGAACACCUCAAGAAAGUUUUCCUCCUCCUGUCACACCUGUGACCUCUCCUUUCCAGCCCAGUGUCCAACUAAGCUCAAAAGAUUUCAUUGCUGAGAGCACUGAAGAAGUACAUUUUCUGAAACUGGACCCCAGAGACAUGCUGUGCAACAAGGACAAGCCUCAAAG